RNAcentral lists this ribosomal RNA (492 nucleotides) under uncultured bacterium. RNAcentral describes it as "partial 16S ribosomal RNA". It matches the Rfam family "Bacterial small subunit ribosomal RNA", at positions 29 to 507 of the family's 1533-position model. The record is from RNAcentral.
AGUGAACGCUGGCGGUAGGCCUAACACAUGCAAGUCGAACGGCAGCACAGUAAGAGCUUGCUCUUACGGGUGGCGAGUGGCGGACGGGUGAGGAAUACAUCGGAAUCUACUUUUUCGUGGGGGAUAACGUAGGGAAACUUACGCUAAUACCGCAUACGACCUACGGGUGAAAGCAGUGGAUCUUCUGACCUUGCGCGAUUGAAUGAGCCGAUGUCGGAUUAGCUAGUUGGCGGGGUAAAGGCCCACCAAGGCGACGAUCCGUAGCUGGUCUGAGAGGAUGAUCAGCCACACUGGAACUGAGACACGGUCCAGACUCCUACGGGAGGCAGCAGUGGGGAAUAUUGGACAAUGGGCGCAAGCCUGAUCCAGCAAUACCGCGUGGGUGAAGAAGGACUUCGGGUUGUAAAGCCCUUUUGUUGGGAAAGAAAAGAAGCAGGUUAAUACCCCGCUGUUCUGACGGUACCCAAAGAAUAAGCACCGGCUAACUUCGUG